Molecule: ribosomal RNA, 254 nt
Filed under: uncultured bacterium
Lineage: Bacteria
Description: partial 16S ribosomal RNA
Rfam family: Bacterial small subunit ribosomal RNA
Source: RNAcentral
UACGUAGGGGGCAAGCGUUGUUCGGCAUUACUGGGCGUAAAGGGCGCGUAGGCGGCCUGCUAAGUCGAACGUGAAAUCCCCGAGCUCAACCCGGGAACUGCGUCCGAUACUGGCAGGCUUGAAUCCGGGAGAGGGAUGUGGAAUUCCAGGUGUAGCGGUGAAAUGCGUAGAUAUCUGGAGGAACACCGGUGGCGAAGGCGGCAUCCUGGACCAACACUGACGCUGAGUGAGCGAAAGCCAGGGGAGCAAACGGG